GCCAGUGUGGUGUAGUGGUUUCAGCAUUGGACUGAGACUCUGGAGAACAGGGUUCGAAUCCCUGCUUAGCCA
This is a non-coding RNA of Phrynosoma platyrhinos (Desert horned lizard), 72 nucleotides long. NCBI's taxonomy places the organism in Eukaryota, Metazoa, Chordata, Lepidosauria, Squamata, Phrynosomatidae. The record is from the annotation of a GenBank genome assembly.